UGGUGAACUUUGCUUGUGUAGGGUGACAAACCCAUACGCGAAAUGAAAGUAAGUCUAAGGUGCCAAGCGCAAGCAGCAGCAUCGGCCUCCUUUCUCUUUCUAGGGAGAGUGUGCGCAAGAGCUAUACCUUUUGGACCCGAAAGAUGGUGAACUUUGCUUGUGUAGGGUGAAGCAUGGGGAAACCUAUGUGGAAGCUCGUAGCGAUACUGACGUGCAAAUCGUUCGUCGAACAUGAGUAAAGGGGCGAAAGACUAAUCGAACUAUCUAGUAGCUGGUUCCCUGCGAAGUUUUUUUCAGAAUAGCUGUUGCAAAAUUGUAGUUUUACUAGGUAAAGCGAAUGAUUAGAGGACUCUGGCGGUUAAUCUGCUUGACCUAUUCUCAAACUUUAAAUUGGUAAGAACCGGCGGUUUUCUUAAUUGAACCAAUGGGCAGAAUACAUUGCAAUUAGUGGGCCAUUUUUGGUAAGCAGAACUGGCGAUGAGGGAUGAACCUAACGUUGAGUUAAGGUGCCUAACACGUAAUCAUCGGACACCAUAAAAGGCGUAUUAUAGUUGAUACAGCUGGACUGUGACCCUAAAAGUAGGUAUCAGCCAAGGAUCGUCUAACAACCCACCAGCAUAAUUAUAAUGCCCUGAAAAUGGAUGGCGCUACAUUACGUGACCGAUACUCGACCAAUAGGGUAAGUUUUACACCCUAUUGAGUAGCAGGGCGUGACCAUAGUGCAGAAGCUUUGGUGUGAACCUUAGUGGAACUGUGGUUAGUGCAGAUCUUGGUUGUAGUAGCAAUUAUUCAAAUGAGAACUUUGAAGGCCGAAGUGGAGAAGGGUUUCAUGAGAACUGCAUUGGGUCAUGAGUUACUCGAUCCUAAGGUAACGGGAAAAUCCGUGUAAUGAGCAUUUUGUGCUCGAAGCCAAAAGGGAAAGGGGUUAAUAUUCCUCUAGUCCGUCCAGGAUAUUAUAUGGUGACAUUAACAAGCCCGAAGACGCCAGCACGUACCCUAAGAAGGAUUCUCUUUUCUUUUUAACUGACUAUCGCCUUGGAAUUGGAUUAUCCAGAGAGACGGCUUAAUGUCAGGAAGAGCAGACCACUACUCGGUUUGUUUGGUGCGUACGUGAUGGUCCUUGAAAAUUCGGGGGAGAAUAUUAUUCACUGGCGGAGUCGUACCAAUAACCGCAUCAGGUCUCCUAGGUUAGCAGCCUCUGGCCAAUUAGAAUAAUGUAGAUAAAGGAAGUCGACAAAAUGCUAAUUUAACUUCGGGAUAAAUUAGGGCUCUGAGGGUUUAGCAGUAAGGUUCUGAAUGAACACGGAAGGUUGACAUUGUGAUGGCGCAAGUCGUCGCUUUUGAUGCUUGAUAUGUUCUGAAGCUGCCGAGCUGUAACUAAAAACUAACUCAGAACUGAAGCAAACCAGGGGAAUCUAACUGUUUAAUAGAAACAUAGCAUUGUGAUGGCCUGAAAAGGUGUUGACACAAUGUGAUUUCUGCCCAGUGCUCUAAAGUUACUGAUAUGAAAAUAUCCUAAGCUUGGGUAAACGGCGGGAGUAACUAUGACUCUCUUAAGGUAGCCAAAUGCCUCGUCAUCUAAUUAGUGACGCGCAUGAAUGGAUCACUGAGAUUCCCAUUGUCUCUAUCUACUAUCUAGCGAACCAGCAGCCAAGGGAACGGACUUGGCGUAAUCAGCGGGGAAAGAAGACCCUGUUGAGCUUGACUCUAGUCUGACUUUGUGAUGUCGAUAUCUCGGUGUAGCCUAGGAGGGAGAUUCGUCGAGCCUGCAAAACCUCUACGGGGUACUCGACAUCACUUAUUUCGUAAGAUUAGGCAUAGGAUUUUCCUAUUUCUAGAACUAAGACUGCCUAGCAGUUGACUUAAGCGGAAGACAUUGUCAGGUGGGGAGUUUGGCUGGGGCGGCACAUCUGUUAAACAAUAACGCAGGUGU
This 1933-nucleotide ribosomal RNA is filed under the name metagenome. RNAcentral's name for it is "eukaryotic LSU rRNA". It matches the Rfam family "Eukaryotic large subunit ribosomal RNA", at positions 675 to 2661 of the family's 3401-position model. The record is from RNAcentral.